GGAAAGGAAAGGCUGUUACUGCCUGAUCAUUACAGGUGGCAGUUUGGGAGUGGUGUAAGUCAAUGACCUACCUCUGGCAGGGGGCCAGGGCAAAUUGGAAGAAACAUUGCAUACUUGGACUGCACAACAUAGUGUCUUUUUUUCACCCAGUCUCCGAGGGGCUAUCAGGAAGUUGUCUGUGAUUGGCUAGAGUCAGUUUCCUACGGCACCCUUGCUGGCAAACUCUGGGUUUGUAGCUGAGUAAUAUAUGAAGUGGCCUUAAAAGGCGCCAGUAGCUAAUGCCCAGUCAGAUUUGAUGCUACCCAUGAGACUAAUCCUGCCUCCCACACCUUCAAGUCUGUUGGACAAGAACAUGGACUGAACAAAGUGAUUUCCCAAGGAAAUGAGAUGGUAGAGUCCUUAGGAUGCAGAAUGGACAGUAUCAUUUCAUAUUCCAGUGUGAUGUGGUACAGACUGCUCUUCCAGCUCAGGACUCCUCCACUUCAUUCUGCUGCAUGUGUGGACCAGGCCUCAGAACUGCGGAGUGGAGAAUGGACGAACAGUUGAUCUCUCACAUCAUAUGGAAGAUUUGGCACAAAAUGAAAGACUCCCAGACUCUUCCUAGACCUCUGCAAUGUGCAAAGAACCCUGGAUAGGGAGGGAGUCUCUUGCUUUGAGCUAUAGAGUAUCAGAGGCGUGGCAGACGCCUCCUCAACCUAUGCCUUAAUCUGCCAUUGUGUGUAUCCAGUUCUGAUCCAACAAGGGGAUCCAAAGGCUCAUCACCCUUGCUGAGUCCUGAGCUCCAGGACUGAUAUUGCAUAAUAGCAUUUACACUAGCUGCAAUUGAAUCUAAUGUGAUUUUGGAAGAUUCAAGAAGGACAUAAUUACAAUAAUCAAUACAUUAUAAAGUGGAAUAAAAGCAUAUAGUGGAA
Molecule: long non-coding RNA, 911 nt
Organism: Hemicordylus capensis (graceful crag lizard)
Lineage: Eukaryota; Metazoa; Chordata; Lepidosauria; Squamata; Cordylidae
Exons: 6
Source: RefSeq, a predicted model, not a curated record